CUGCAGCCAAUUAAGCCGACUGUGCUCUUUCCCCGUGGGGCCCAGUGUGCAUUGGCUGUGAACAGCAGCCUCCUUGGUAGGUAUGCAGCCUGUUGGUUGUAUGGGUUGCCCUAAGGGACCUUGGAGACAGUU
This is a small nucleolar RNA of Panthera leo (lion), 132 nucleotides long. Its record names the gene SNORA70. It matches the Rfam family "Small nucleolar RNA SNORA70". From Rfam's summary of the family: snoRNA U70 seems to be exclusive to mammals and is a member of the H/ACA class of snoRNA which contain H (ANANNA) and ACA box motifs. H/ACA box snoRNAs are involved in the conversion of uridines to pseudouridines (5-ribosyluracil) a constituent of structural RNAs (transfer, ribosomal, small nuclear, and small nucleolar). The record is from Ensembl. Lineage: Eukaryota; Metazoa; Chordata; Mammalia; Carnivora; Felidae.